CGGAUGGGCCCUCGAAAUCCUGUGGCGGAAGGAUUCAGUCGGAAGGAGAGGCCGCGCGCGCCGUACUCAGUUGGUUCCGCGACCGGACCGUUCGGAGUGCGCGCAGCCCUUCCAGACGACGCAUUUGUUUUCCGUCCGAAGGACGCCGCAACCGGUUGGGGGACGGCCUGAAAGUGGAGCGACGGCAGGUGGCCGACGGCACGCCUCAUGCGCGCUGACGGUGUUUACAGCCAGCUCUUCGCACGGCUCGUACCCCGACCGUGGUGACGCGAAGCCCGCUCAAUGGGUCUUCACCGCCUCCUCUCGUAAAAAGACGCGCACUGAGCGCGGCAGUGACUCUUCGAGGCGGCAGGCGCACAGGAUGACCUUGUGGCCAGCUGCGCGGAGUCCAUGGUGGCCGCGGAAUGAUGCGUUGGGAGCUGGUGGUUGGCGGCGAGUAGAUCGGUCACCCAUCCGACCCGUCUUGAAACACGGACCAAGGAGUCUAACAUGUGUGCGAGUCAAUGGGACUCGAAUAAGCCCAGAGGCGCAAUGAAAGCAAAGGCCGGGUCGAAGCGCCCGGCCGUGUUGGGAUCCCCGGGCCUGCGAGCUCGGGGCGCACCAACGACCCGUCCUGUCCGAUUUAUCGGUUGGGCGGAGUCUGAGCACACACGUUGGGACCCGAAAGAUGGUGACCUAUGCCCGGGCAGGACGAGGCCAGAGGAAACUCUGGUGGAGGUCCGCAGCGGUUCUGACGUGCAAAUCGAUCGUCAGACCCAGGUAUAGGGGCG
Molecule: ribosomal RNA, 770 nt
Filed under: Anelosimus pacificus
Lineage: Eukaryota; Metazoa; Arthropoda; Arachnida; Araneae; Theridiidae
Description: partial 28S ribosomal RNA
Rfam family: Eukaryotic large subunit ribosomal RNA (bases 475-770)
Source: RNAcentral